GAGCUGCUCUUUGGGGCGGCCACCAGUUCUACCUCUUCUUUUUUGUUGUUUUUUGUUUUGGGGCGGCUGCCAGGUCUACACGGCAGCCCCUGAGGGCAGAAGCGGCUAUGUGAAUGGCAGGAAACCGGGGGCGGAAGUGACGUCAGGGCGUGCCUUCACUGAGGGCCAAGGCGGCUCCGUGAUUGGCUGGACCAUGAGGACGGAUGUGCCGUUAGGGCGAGACUUCACUGAGGGCAGAAACACUUCGUCAUUGGCUGGGAACUGAGGGCGGAAGUGGCGUCUAGGCGAGCCUUCACUGAAGGCGGAGGUGCUCUGUGAUUGGCUGGAGAAACCCGGGGCGGAAAUGGCGUCAGGGCAUGCCUUCACUGAGGGCGGAAACUCUUUAGGAUUGGCUCGGAGGAACCCAGGGCGGAAGCGGCGUGCAGGGCUUGUUGGCACUGAGGGCGGAAGCCGUCGGGCCGGGCAGGGCUCGGCUCGGGCUGGGCCGGGACGCCAAGGCGCUGUGCUGCAACGAGCAAACUGUGUAUUAUCCCGGGAGUGUAGGCACGGUCUUGUGUAGUAUUGUCAUUCUGCCCCACCACUCUGAUAUCUAACAAAAUAAUACUUUGUGGAUGUUGUCUACGAAUUCUUUCCUUCCUUAUGUAAGAGGACAAUGUGCGUCGCCUAGUUCGUCACAGAGCAUCGCUGAAGUACUGUUUUAUUUGUAUUUGUGAAGACAGCAGAAUCAAAGAUAGCAGCUCGGCGACUCCCACCGAGAUGGUCAUUAAGAUAAAACAGUGAAGUUUCUAGCAUAUAUUAAAAAGCCUGGAGGAAUUAGCAUAGCUUGCAGGAAAGCGUGCUGGAAAGAGAUGAUAUUUGACAGCAAGCGUGAAAAUGUCAUCUUUUUACCAAGACUGAUGAGAACUGAUGCGUCUGCCCUGCGUUUGGAUAGAAGACGCCCUGGAUUUAAAGACGGUGUGUAUUAAAUGAAGUAUGAGAAGAAACAGCUUCUUCGGACACUUGCGCUCCUCUUCUUCAGCUCGUGGAGAAGGCUGACAGCCUGUCUCACUCUCGUCUGUGCUAUCCCACCAGCUCCUUUAGGAGCCCAGCACCGCGUUUGGCCUGUUGCGAUCUUCCCGCUCCCCUCAUUUCUGUGCUGCAACGCCACCAUCCACGAGAAGUCAGACAGGAGAAAAGCUCUUUCCAGAGAGAUGGAGAAGGAAUUAAUUAGACCUCUGCCUCAUCCUGCAAGACCAGAAGACAUGGAGUAACUACGACGUGGGGUGCAUUUCUCUGCUGCACUUGUGGUUUUCCACCUGUGGUUUUUCACUUGUGGUUUUCCACGUGGUUCGCACUGCUUCCAUUAUUGAGAAAACGGUUUGGGAAGCUGUCUGCCACUUCUCAGGAUUUUCUGCCGCCACCUGCUGGCAAAAAAAAUCAGUAACGCAGGUGGAGCCAUGUAGGACUUCUCAGAGGUAAGCCUUCAACGUACGGGGACCCCUAAACUCGUGAGCCGAGCACGCAAGACAAAUGUCCGUGGCACAAAGAUCAAGGACGACUUCUCAGAGGUAAGCAGCUUUCCCUUUGUUUCCCCGUCCUCUCAGGAGCCCUCUUUAUGAUGCUUGUACACACUUCAGGCUCACAACACUCAUUUUCUCCUCUACUUAGUAUUCGCAGUCCCUGCCUAAGCCGUCCUCCCUCCCCCCACUUUCCAAAGACCUGCGUGCUCUGCUCAGGUCCCUCCUGAGGCCUUACAGAUCUUUUAAAUCUGCUCAGCGUUCUUUCCGGCUUGUACUGUGCCAUUAUUUUUUCCCUGCUCCUUUUGAGAAUGUCUGUACCCUUUUCAGAUCUCGAUUGGGUUGGCUUUUUUGGACCCAUCUGCAUGGCCUUUUGUUUUGUAGAUAGUCUACUAAGGUACAUUACUUCUCCGGUGAGUUAUUUUACUACAUUGAAUUGUAUUUUUGUGGUUUGUAAUCUGUUACACUCCUAGAUUAUUUCUACCUAUGUAAAGAAAAGUUUCAGCUAAUUACAGUCAAAACCAGUUUUAGUUACCUACUUGGUCAUAUUGUCGUUUCAAUAAUCAGAACUGAAGCAAAAGCACAGGAAUUGUUGCCUCUAGUAACACUCCACACACUGUUGAGCUAAGCCAAAUAAAAAACGCAGCUGCUGCUCUCUUUAUCCCUUCCUGUGCUUUGCCUCUCCUCUUUCCCAGGUGAUUGGGCAGGGUGCCGGGUUGGGUCUAAUGGUAUAUGAGUUGCAGGCAUCCCAUCAGAGAGCUCAUUCUGCCUGGGGUGCACUUUGGGUAGGUAAACCUUAGGAGGAAUCGGUCAAAGGAAACAGCAACUGUCAAGUUCUUGUUCGGCAACUCGGUGACUGAUUUGAUCUACUUCUCAGAUGUAGAGGCAAAUGGACUGCUCUUUUGAAAUGAUAAAAUAAAAAACAUGAAGUUUGUCAAA
Long non-coding RNA from Cygnus atratus (black swan), 2435 nucleotides. RefSeq lists it as uncharacterized. NCBI's taxonomy places the organism in Eukaryota, Metazoa, Chordata, Aves, Anseriformes, Anatidae. The record is from RefSeq and is a predicted model, not a curated record. The transcript is spliced from 7 exons.